Molecule: ribosomal RNA, 601 nt
Filed under: Trichoderma harzianum
Lineage: Eukaryota; Fungi; Ascomycota; Sordariomycetes; Hypocreales; Hypocreaceae
Description: eukaryotic LSU rRNA
Rfam family: 5.8S ribosomal RNA (bases 224-377)
Source: RNAcentral
UUUGGGGACGCGGAGGGACAUUACCGAGUUUACAACUCCCAAACCCAAUGUGAACGUUACCAAACUGUUGCCUCGGCGGGAUCUCUGCCCCGGGUGCGUCGCAGCCCCGGACCAAGGCGCCCGCCGGAGGACCAACCAAAACUCUUUUUGUAUACCCCCUCGCGGGUUUUUUAUAAUCUGAGCCUUCUCGGCGCCUCUCGUAGGCGUUUCGAAAAUGAAUCAAAACUUUCAACAACGGAUCUCUUGGUUCUGGCAUCGAUGAAGAACGCAGCGAAAUGCGAUAAGUAAUGUGAAUUGCAGAAUUCAGUGAAUCAUCGAAUCUUUGAACGCACAUUGCGCCCGCCAGUAUUCUGGCGGGCAUGCCUGUCCGAGCGUCAUUUCAACCCUCGAACCCCUCCGGGGGGUCGGCGUUGGGGAUCGGCCCUGCCUCUUGGCGGUGGCCGUCUCCGAAAUACAGUGGCGGUCUCGCCGCAGCCUCUCCUGCGCAGUAGUUUGCACACUCGCAUCGGGAGCGCGGCGCGUCCACAGCCGUUAAACACCCAACUUCUGAAAUGUUGACCUCGGAUCAGGUAGGAAUACCCGCUGAACUUAAGCAUAUCUA